This 28-nucleotide small RNA is filed under the name Bombyx mori (domestic silkworm). RNAcentral's name for it is "ovarian small RNA-22661". Lineage: Eukaryota; Metazoa; Arthropoda; Insecta; Lepidoptera; Bombycidae. The record is from RNAcentral.
UAGGAGCGAGUCUCUUCUUGUCCGGCGC